This is a long non-coding RNA of Gorilla gorilla gorilla (western lowland gorilla), 673 nucleotides long. RefSeq lists it as uncharacterized. The record is from RefSeq and is a predicted model, not a curated record. NCBI's taxonomy places the organism in Eukaryota, Metazoa, Chordata, Mammalia, Primates, Hominidae. The transcript has 2 exons.
UUCUACUGUAGACAAGUCUGGACUUGUUCUAUGUGGCCAUAGACUGCAGAACCACCAGGGAAAAGAUGACAAAGAUCCACAUUCAGGCCUCAGCAAACAAUAUGGAGUCAUGGACCACAGGCAUCCUGUGUUCUGCCAUUGCAGGGAGGUAAUUACCACAAUGCUCCUUCAUUCCAUACUCUUCCUGGGCCAAUCAGCUUCCCUCACGGGGAGAGGGCAGCCAAUCAGCAUUCAGAUACUCCGAAGAGCAAACUGACAGCUUGGAUCCCAGCAGCUGGUUUGAUUAUCCCCUUAGAGAGAGUGUAGAGUUGAAGUCUCUCAUGGAAGAUAAGUCAAGAUGGGAGAAGAUUCCAAGUUGUUUAUUUAUAAGUGAGAGCUUCAUCUUCAAACAGCUUUGAGAGGAAGCCUGUCACUAAGGACUGAACUGAAUUUUCCAUUCCAAGACUUAAUUCUCUUUAGGGCUUAACAGUCUUUCCUGCUGCUGCUAUUUCCAGAAAUAACCAAAAUGCCUACAGAGUGAUGUCAAUGGCACCAGUGAUCAGAUAACAGCCUGCACUGUGAAGUAACAGAUGAAGCUUUUCUGUUAAAUCUAAAACAAACUGCAGAAACCCUGAAUACUUUUCUUUUGAAUCAGCAUGAAAUGGACCAUAUAUAUAUAAAACUUAUUCUCUAA